This 76-nucleotide non-coding RNA is filed under the name marine eukaryotic metagenome. Its description in RNAcentral is "Cyclic di-GMP-I riboswitch". It matches the Rfam family "c-di-GMP-I riboswitch aptamer". Rfam says of the family: GEMM was predicted in a large-scale screen for bacterial structured RNA regulatory elements. Genes associated with GEMM are involved in a diverse array of functions, including chemotaxis regulation, signal transduction, secretion and chitin. The record is from RNAcentral.
GAAAUGGCAAACCUAACGAAAGUUAGGGACGCAAAGCUCCAGGUCUAAGGUGAAAACUAUGAUGGCUGAGUUUCCA